AUAUGCCUUAUGGUGGGGGACAACAGUUGGAAACGACUGCUAAUACCGCAUAACGUCUACGGACCAAAGGGGGGGAUCUUCGGACCUCUCGCCAUCUGAUUAGCCCAAGUGAGAUUAGCUAGUUGGUGAGGUAAUGGCUCACCAAGGCGACGAUCUCUAGCUGGUUUGAGAGGAUGAUCAGCCACACUGGGACUGAGACACGGCCCAGACUCCUACGGGAGGCAGCAGUGGGGAAUAUUGCACAAUGGGCGAAAGCCUGAUGCAGCCAUGCCGCGUGUGUGAAGAAGGCCUUCGGGUUGUAAAGCACUUUCAGUUGUGAGGAAAGGAGUGUCGUUAAUAGCGCCAUUCUGUGACGUUAACAACAGAAGAAGCACCGGCUAACUUCGUGCCAGCAGCCGCGGUAAUACGAGGGGUGCAAGCGUUAAUCGGAAUUACUGGGCGUAAAGCGUUCGUAGGCGGUCUAUUAAGCAAGAUGUGAAAGCCCAGGGCUCAACCUUGGAACUGCAUUUUGAACUGGUAGGCUAGAGUACUGUAGAGGGUGGUGGAAUUUCCAGUGUAGCGGUGAAAUGCGUAGAGAUUGGAAGGAACAUCAGUGGCGAAGGCGGCCACCUGGACAGAUACUGACGCUGAGGAACGAAAGCGUGGGGAGCGAACAG
RNAcentral lists this ribosomal RNA (656 nucleotides) under uncultured bacterium. RNAcentral's name for it is "bacterial SSU rRNA". It matches the Rfam family "Bacterial small subunit ribosomal RNA", at positions 124 to 775 of the family's 1533-position model. The record is from RNAcentral.